RNAcentral lists this long non-coding RNA (1581 nucleotides) under Nicotiana tabacum (common tobacco). RNAcentral's name for it is "long non-coding RNA (NTAB_LNC005576)". The record is from RNAcentral. Lineage: Eukaryota; Viridiplantae; Streptophyta; Magnoliopsida; Solanales; Solanaceae.
GCUCUAGGCUGUCAGGUUAAUGGACAACUGCAAAACAGGCUGUACUAUAUCUACACAGAUAAACUAGACAUGAAUUAGCUCUUCCGGUGCCAUGGUUAAAGACAUCAUCAGUGUGUGUUAAGCACUUCAAUAAAAUGUAAGCUAAUGUAAACAAUCUGUUCAUUGUGUUACUCCUACACCACAGCAAAUAGCUUGCACAGUUACGAUACACUUGAUGCUUAUUUUAGUUGAGCAUAAAAUGCCUUAAAGCAGCAGAAUGAGAGCAGCGACUAAGGAAGGGGAACUGCAACUACCAAAUAGAGCAAACAUGAAAAUGACCUGAACAAUCUGAAAGGAAUAAAGAGUGAGAAUUGUGCAUAGAGAGAAAAAAAAAUCUCAAAAGUAGUCGUCCUUCUGUGGAUGCUAAAUGUCCACAAAGCAUGAAAGACACCUGAAACCUUCAAAUUCACCACUGCCUUAUCAUGGAGGUGGUCAGAUUUCAACAACAAAUGCGUGGAGAAAACUAGUCCAAGCAGGUCAGAGAAGCAACAUAGGAAAAACUAUUUCAGACUCGAACUUGACGGAACUAAACCAUGUGACAUCAAACAGAGCGUUGAUUGAUUUAAUAGACUUAGAUGCCAAGGAAAUCUCAGUUCCAACAAAUGAUCUAUCUCAAUCAGAGAGCAAGAGAAGUACCAAACCUCAACAAGAGAACUAACCAAUUCGAACAACACUCGCCACUGAACCUCAAACUUAAAUUUUAAGUCCAAACAAUUGAAACAAACAGACCUGAACCAUUAAAAGAAAAUCACUUAACGCGGAACUAACACGAGUUCAAGCUGGUCUUUAGCUAAAUCAGGAGCAUAUAUCAACAAACCUAAUACUGAAAAGAAGAACCCAGAGAAUAUAGUCCUAUUCUGGAAGAAUGAUAGGAUGAAAGGAACUAGACAUAUCAAAUAGUGCUUAUGGAACUCGUCUCGAGCUUAUACGAGCAAACUGAACCCAAACACUUACAACAAAGCUCUAAAGAACCCAUUACUGAACUAGGGACCAUUUGAACAGUAAUAAGUUUCUUUAUCAAAUAGCUAAUCAAACUGAUUCUAACAGCAAAUGACGUGUUUCACUGACUCAAACGACCAAGAAUCAAAUCUGACUUUGAUCAAACGCAUUUGUCAAACGAUCAGAUUUGUACCAGUAUUGCAGGGCAGACAACUUCAGAGUUCAAUUCAUAUGUAAGCUAAACUAAACAGAACCAGAAUAAACAUGAACACAUUGUUCAUUUGAAGUUGACGACACUUGAUUCAGAAUAUUCUCCAAGCUUGAAUAACUGUCAAGACAUGUGGGGAAUGAAAGACGACUAUUCAAUUCGACUUCUACCAACUGAAAAUACACAAAUACAUCAGACUACUGAAAAUGAAUUCAUUCAACACGAGAUUCGAUCCCAGCACAAACAGAGCACUCGAGACAGAAACACACAGUUCAAAGCACUAAAACAAAACAGAAUCGCAAGAACAGAGAGAUGAAGAUUGAACCUGAAAUUUCGAAUUUCUUUUAAUAACAGAAUCGAAGACGAUUACACAGUGUCGACUCCAAAACUAUCUC